AUUUAAAUGAGUAGUUAUUGUUGCAAACUCCAUUAGAAAUUUGAAUUGAUAUCAGUUUUGAAAAAGGGAAACGGGGAUGUGAAAAAAAAGGGGGGGGGGGGGUUAAAUUUUUUCUCAUUUCAGAUUUCAUAAAUAAAAAGAAAAUUUCUUCAACAUUUUUUUGAGAGGAUUAAUAUUCAACAGCAUAGUGAAUUGCUCAAAGGCAAAAAAAACCUUUUAAGUUCAUUAGACCACAUUCAUUCUGUGUCAGAAACCUAUGCUGUGUCAACUAUUUAAUUUUAGAUUUAAAAAGUUUGAAGAAGAAAUCUUUAAUUGAUUUGUAAAAUCUUGGCAUUUGUUUUGUGUAAAAAAAAACCAUGUAAUGUCAAAAAUUUGAUCACAAUCCAAAUUCAGAGCUGUAUCAUGCUUGAAUGUUUUGUCCAUACUUGCCCCAACUGUUCAGGGUUCGACCUCUGCGGUCGUAUAAAGCUGCGCCCUGCGGAGCACCUGGUUGUAUUUUGUAAACACUCAAAUAGAUAUGGUGUUAAAUUUGUAGAAUGUUUUUGAAGCUUAAAAUGAAAAUGCAUUUAUAUAUACUUUUUGGCUUCAGUGUCAGUGAUCAAAACUGACUACCUACCGAGCUGGCCCCAAAAAGUUCAUUUUUGGGUAACUUUUAAACUUGUUAGUUCAUGAUAUUUUUGCACAACACAGACCAUUUAUAUGUUUAUACAAAUAGGUUAUGUUUGCUUCUAUCUAAGUACAUUUGUACUGUAUAAUGGUUCUUUGAUUGCUUUUACUUAAUUAUCCUUCAUUGUUAUACUACGGCAAAAAAAAAUUUGCGUCGUAUAAUGCUAUCAUGUUGUCGUCGUCUGCGUCAUCGUAGUCCGAAGACGCAUUUAGUUUCCAGACAAUAACUUAAGUUUUAGUGAAUGGAGCUCUAUAAAUUUUUACCAGAAAGUUCAAUACCACUUAAGGAAGAUUUUUUGUGAUUGAUUUUGGGGGUUAUGGUCCCAAUAGUUAAGUAAUUAGGGGCCAAAAGGGAGGUCCAAAAUGAGCAUUUUUGCAGUUUUCAAACAAUAACUUGUGUUUAAGUGUAUGAAUCUAUCUGAAAUUAUUCCAAAAGUUUUCAUACCAAAAGCAGUGUAAGGGAGGUAAUACAAAAAAAUUUAACGUACAAUGUUGGGUAUGUUCAGAUAUACCUCCCUUACACUUCUUAUAAAUCAUGUAUUAAGGAAUGUCAGGUUUUGGACUAAUUACAAAAAAAGGGGGGGGGGUGGUAGUGGUUUUCAAUUUUUUUUUCUCCAAAUUUCAAAUUUUUGAAAGAAAAGUUUGAAGAAGAAAUCUUAAAUUGCAUAUAUUGCACAAUAGAUUUGUAAGAUCUUAACUUUUGUUUUGUGUCAGAAACUCAUAUUAUGUCAAAAAUUUGAUCACAAUCCAAAUUCAGAGCUGUAUAGAGCUAGUAUGUUGUGUCCAUACUUUCCCCAAUUGUUCAGGGUUUCGACAUCUGUGGUCGUAUAAAGCUGCGCCCUGUGGAGCACCUGGUUGUGUAUUUUGUAUUAGAAUUUUGCAAACUUCAAAACAGUGGUGACGUUGCUUCGUUAAACUGAAGUUGUUGCUAAACUAUCAACAUAGCCUAGUAAAGAGGAUGUAACCUCUGUUUCGGAGUUUGAGAAUUUUGUUCUUUAAAACAUGUUAUUCCCACUGAGAUUAGGGCAUUAACUCAGGGCAAGAAUACUCAGAUAUCAAGUCCUCGAUAAAUAUUUGUCUCACAUGUGAUGAAAGUCGCUGAAGUGAGACCUAUGUGUGUUUUUCCUGACAUUGGUAGCAUCAACAAUUAUUUAAGUUUUUGAUUAGGUUACACAUGCAAGACAUGUUUGUUUGUUAAAAAUGUAUUAUACUUAGAUUAGAUUUCUGUAAUGUAAAAUGAAUUAUUGUUUGAGUAAGUGUUGUAUAUGUUCAGUUCAAAAGCUCAAUGCAUGCUUAUGUUAUGUUGUUACUAAUCUUGCCAACUUUAAAUCAAGAUUAUUUGGAUUUGCUCUUUUUAAAACAAACACAUUGAUCAAUUUAUAAAUUUAUAUUCUUCUUUUUGUAUUACCUACUAUUGUUAUUUAUAAGAUUGUUAUACAUGUUUUGUUAUCUGAAAGUGUUAUAGUUUUGUUUG
Molecule: long non-coding RNA, 2140 nt
Filed under: Mytilus galloprovincialis (Mediterranean mussel)
Lineage: Eukaryota; Metazoa; Mollusca; Bivalvia; Mytilida; Mytilidae
Source: RNAcentral